Molecule: ribosomal RNA, 459 nt
Filed under: uncultured bacterium
Lineage: Bacteria
Description: partial 16S ribosomal RNA
Rfam family: Bacterial small subunit ribosomal RNA
Source: RNAcentral
CCUACGGGUGGCAGCAGUGAGGAAUAUUGGUCAAUGGACGCAAGUCUGAACCAGCCAUGCCGCGUGCAGGAUGACGGCUCUAUGAGUUGUAAACUGCUUUUGUACGAGGGUAAACCCCGAUACGUGUAUCGGGUUGAAAGUAUCGUACGAAUAAGGCUCGGCUAACUCCGUGCCAGCAGCCGCGGUAAUACGGAGGAUCCGAGCGUUAUCCGGAUUUAUUGGGCUUAAAGGGUGCGUAGGCGGUCCGGAAAGUCAGCGGUAAAAGCCCGGGGCUCAACCCCGGCGAGCCGUUGAAACUGUCGGACUAGAGACGGCGAGAAGUACGCGGAAUGCGCGGUGUAGCGGUGAAAUGCAUAGAUAUCGCGCAGAACUCCGAUUGCGAAGGCAGCGUACCGGCGCCGGACUGACGCUGAGGCACGAAAGCGUGGGUAUCGAACAGGAUUAGAUACCCGGGUAGUC